GACGAACGCUGGCGGCGUGCUUAACACAUGCAAGUCGAACGAAAAGAGGGAAAGAGCUUGCUCUUUCCGGAAUUGAGUGGCAAACGGGUGAGUAACACGUAAACAACCUGCCUUCAGGAUGGGGACAACAGACGGAAACGACUGCUAAUACCGAAUAAGUUCCAAGAGCCGCAUGGCCCAUGGAAGAAAAGGUGGCCUCUACCUGUAAGCUAUCGCCUGAAGAGGGGUUUGCGUCUGAUUAGCUGGUUGGAGGGGUAACGGCCCACCAAGGCGACGAUCAGUAGCCGGUCUGAGAGGAUGAACGGCCACACUGGAACUGAGACACGGUCCAGACUCCUACGGGAGGCAGCAGUGGGGAAUCUUCCGCAAUGGGCGAAAGCCUGACGGAGCAACGCCGCGGGAGUGAUGACGGCCUUCGGGUUGUAAAACUCUGUGAGCCGGGACGAAAAGGCAGAGUGCGAAGAACAAACUGCAUUGACGGUACCGGAAAAGCAAGCCACGGCUAACUACGUG
Molecule: ribosomal RNA, 513 nt
Filed under: uncultured bacterium
Lineage: Bacteria
Description: partial 16S ribosomal RNA
Rfam family: Bacterial small subunit ribosomal RNA
Source: RNAcentral